This 66-nucleotide transfer RNA is filed under the name Margattea multipunctata. RNAcentral's name for it is "tRNA-Asp". The record is from RNAcentral. Lineage: Eukaryota; Metazoa; Arthropoda; Insecta; Blattodea; Pseudophyllodromiidae.
AAAAAAUUAGUUAAUUAAUAACAUUUGCUUGUCAAGCAGAAAUAAUCAAUUUAAUGGUAUUUUUUA